AUUGAACGCUGGCGGCAUGCUUUACACAUGCAAGUCGAACGGUAACAGGCCUUCGGGUGCUGACGAGUGGCGAACGGGUGAGUAAUGCAUCGGAACGUGCCCAAUCGUGGGGGAUAACGUAGCGAAAGUUACGCUAAUACCGCAUAAGCCCUGAGGGGGAAAGUGGGGGACCGCAAGGCCUCACGCGAAUGGAGCGGCCGAUGUCAGAUUAGCUAGUUGGUGGGGUAAAGCCCACCAAGGCGACGAUCUGUAGCGGGUCUGAGAGGAUGAUCCGCCACACUGGGACUGAGACACGGCCCAGACUCCUACGGGAGGCAGCAGUGGGGAAUUUUGGACAAUGGGCGCAAGCCUGAUCCAGCCAUGCCGCGUGCGGGAAGAAGGCCUCGG
This 387-nucleotide ribosomal RNA is filed under the name uncultured bacterium. RNAcentral's name for it is "bacterial SSU rRNA". It matches the Rfam family "Bacterial small subunit ribosomal RNA", at positions 29 to 420 of the family's 1533-position model. The record is from RNAcentral.